This 459-nucleotide ribosomal RNA is filed under the name uncultured bacterium. RNAcentral's name for it is "partial 16S ribosomal RNA". It matches the Rfam family "Bacterial small subunit ribosomal RNA", at positions 338 to 795 of the family's 1533-position model. The record is from RNAcentral.
CCUACGGGUGGCAGCAGUGAGGAAUAUUGGUCAAUGGUCGGGAGACUGAACCAGCCAAGCCGCGUGAGGGAUGAAGGUACAGAGCAUCGCAGACCUCUUUUGUCAGGGAACAAAGUCCCGGACGCGUCCCCUCCUGAGUGUACCCGAAGAAAAAGCAUCGGCUAACUCCGUGCCAGCAGCCGCGGUAAUACGGAGGAUGCGAGCGUUAUCCGGAUUUAUUGGGUUUAAAGGGUGCGCAGGCGGUCUGUUAAGCCAGCGGUCAAAGCCCGGGGCUCAACCCCGCCGCGCCGUCGAAACUGGGGGUCUCGAGUGGGGGGGAGGUAUGCGGAAUGCGCGGGGUAGCGGUGAAAUGCAUAGAUAUCGCGCAGAACCCCGAUUGCGAAGGCAGCGUGCCGGGUCGACACUGACGCUGAGGCACGAAAGCGUGGGUAUCGAACAGGAUUAGAUACCCGUGUAGUC